CAUUCUUAACGAGACGGACGGACAAACAAUCACACAAAACUAAUAGCAGCUAUUCUACUUUCGGGGGCAGCUAAAAAGACAUAUUUCUCUCCACAUGUGUUAAUAGCAAGACUUACAGAUUUGAUAUCAGCAUUUCAUGGAUGAAUUCAUAGUAAACGAGCGAAUUCGAAUCAGCUCCCUGUUUACCAUAUUGGCUUGAGGAGGUUGAGGAGGCCUUAGCCCUCGAGUGCGAAUGUGGACCACUUCAGAGGCCGAUUUUGAGUUUGUGUUUCCACACUAACUGUAUUUGUAACCUUGUUAUUUGAGAUGAUUAUGUCGGCUAAAUGGGUUGACUUGUCCUGGUGUUGUAUGCCAUGGAAGAAUACACAUGCCAUGGAAGAGUACACAUGUCAUGAGAUAUGAACAAGUGAUGCUAAACUGCUUGCUUUACAUUCUUGAUAGUGAUCUCUGUGACUAUGAAGAGAUGAACUGUGUAUUGUCAGAAACUUUAACAGAACUCAGAACUAUAUGGCAAGAAAUGAAGAGGUCAUGAAACAUGUCAAGUAAACGGAAAAUGCAUCAAGAAUGUCAUGUUUGUGUCGUCUUGCCCCUUGAAUUCCUAUAUUAUUUUAACACAAGUAAGUUUUGAAAGAAAAAAAUGAACUGGUUAAUUUUUUUUUUAAAUAAAGGGGGGAGGAAUGUAGAGACGCACUUUAGGUGACUGAUAGUGAACGCAAUUAUCAGACAUAAAAUCCAAAGCGAGACUGUAGCUUAGCUAGAUUAAACGGACAGUUUAGGCUAGGCUUUCAUAGAGGUAACAUCGUACGUGAUAGUAGCUGAGACUAG
Biomphalaria glabrata is the source of this 825-nucleotide long non-coding RNA. RefSeq lists it as uncharacterized. The transcript has 4 exons. The record is from RefSeq and is a predicted model, not a curated record. NCBI's taxonomy places the organism in Eukaryota, Metazoa, Mollusca, Gastropoda, Planorbidae.